Molecule: ribosomal RNA, 483 nt
Filed under: uncultured bacterium
Lineage: Bacteria
Description: partial 16S ribosomal RNA
Rfam family: Bacterial small subunit ribosomal RNA
Source: RNAcentral
GACGAACGCUGGCGGCGUGCUUAACACAUGCAAGUCGAACGCUGAAGCUCAGCUUUUGUUGGGUGGAUGAGUGGCGAACGGGUGAGUAACACGUGAGUAACCUGCCCCCUUCUUUGGGAUAACGCCCGGAAACGGGAGCUAAUACUGGAUAUUCACUGGUCUUCGCAUGGGGGUUGGUGGAAAGGGUUUUUCUGGUGGGGGAUGGGCUCGCGGCCUAUCAGCUUGUUGGUGGGGUGAUGGCCUACCAAGGCGUUGACGGGUAGCCGGCCUGAGAGGGUGACCGGUAACAUUGGGACGGUGCUGCGGCCUAGAGUCCGACGGGAGGCAGCAGUGUGGAAGAUUGCACAAUGGGCGCAAGCCUGAUGCAGCGACGCCGCGUGAGGGAUGGAGGCCGUCGGGUUGUGAAACUCUGUCGCUCAUGGUCAAGCCGAAACAAUGGUUGUGGUGAGGUUAGUGGGUAAAGAAGCGCCGGCUAACUACGUG